AGCGAACGCUGGCGGCAGGCCUAACACAUGCAAGUCGAACGAACCUUUCGGGGUUAGUGGCGGACGGGUGAUUAACACGUGGGGACUUGCCUUUAGGUUCGGAAUAACUCAGGGAAACUUGUGCUAAUACCGAAUGUGCCCUUCGGGGGAAAGAUUUAUCGCCUUUAGAGCGGCCCGCGUCUGAUUAGCUAGUUGGUUGAGGUAAUGGCUCACCAAGGCGACGAUCAGUAGCUGGUCUGAGAGGAUGAUCAGCCACAUUGGGACUGAGACACGGCCCAAAAUCCUACGGGAGGCAGCAGUGGGGAAUCUUGCGCAAUGGGCGAAAGCGUGACGCAGCCAUGCCGGGUGAAUGAUGAAGGUCUUAGGAUUGUAAAAUUCUUUCACCGGGGACGAUAAUGACGGUACCCGGAGAAGAAGCCCCGGCUAACUUCGUG
RNAcentral lists this ribosomal RNA (434 nucleotides) under uncultured bacterium. RNAcentral's name for it is "partial 16S ribosomal RNA". It matches the Rfam family "Bacterial small subunit ribosomal RNA", at positions 29 to 507 of the family's 1533-position model. The record is from RNAcentral.